RNAcentral lists this ribosomal RNA (497 nucleotides) under uncultured bacterium. Its description in RNAcentral is "partial 16S ribosomal RNA". It matches the Rfam family "Bacterial small subunit ribosomal RNA", at positions 28 to 507 of the family's 1533-position model. The record is from RNAcentral.
GAUGAACGCUGGCGGCGUGCCUAAUACAUGCAAGUCGAACGAACAGGCGCGGCUCUUUCUCCUCAGUCGUUACCAACGGACGAGUGAGUAACACGUGGAUAACCUACCUAUCUGACUGGGAUAACUUCGAGAAACCGGAGCUCCUACCAGAUAAUAUAUUCGACCGCAUGGUGCUGUAGUGAAAGACGGUUUUGCUGUCACUUCUAGAUCUAUCCGCGCCGCAUUAGCUUGUUGGUUCGGUAACGAGUUACCAAGGCAACGAUCCGUAGCCGACCGGAGAGGGUGAUCGGCGGCCCGGGAGCGGGAACAGGGACCAGACGCCUACGGGAGGCAGCAGUAGGGAAUCUGCCGCAAUGGGCGAAAGCAUGACGGAGCAACGCCGCGUGAGUGAUGAAGGUCUUCGGAGCGUAAAACUCUGUUAUUAGGGAAGAACAAAUGUGUAAGUAAAUAUACACGAAGUGACGGUACCUGAUCAGAAAGCCACGGCUAACUACGUG